GGCGUAAAGCGAGCGCAGGCGGAAAAAUAAGUCUAAUGUGAAAGCCCUCGGCUUAACCGAGGAACUGCAUCGGAAACUGUUUUUCUUGAGUGCAGAAGAGGAGAGUGGAACUCCAUGUGUAGCGGUGGAAUGCGUAGAUAUAUGGAAGAACACCAGUGGCGAAGGCGGCUCUCUGGUCUGCAACUGACGCUGAGGCUCGAAAGCAUGGGUAGCGAACAGGAUUAGAUACCCUGGUAGUCCAUGCCGUAAACGAUGAGUGCUAAGUGUUGGGAGGUUUCCGCCUCUCAGUGCUGCAGCUAACGCAUUAAGCACUCCGCCUGGGGAGUACGACCGCAAGGUUGAAACUCAAAGGAAUUGACGGGGGCCCGCACAAGCGGUGGAGCAUGUGGUUUAAUUCGAAGCAACGCGAAGAACCUUACCAGGUCUUGACAUCUAGUGCAAUCUGUAGAGAUACGGAGUUCCCUUCGGGGACGCUAAGACAGGUGGUGCAUGGCUGUCGUCAGCUCGUGUCGUGAGAUGUUGGGUUAAGUCCCGCAACGAGCGCAACCCUUGUUAUUAGUUGCCAGCAUUAAGUUGGGCACUCUAAUGAGACUGCCGGUGACAAACCGGAGGAAGGUGGGGAUGACGUCAAGUCAUCAUGCCCCUUAUGACCUGGGCUACACACGUGCUACAAUGGGCAGUACAACGAGAAGCAAGCCUGCGAAGGCAAGCGAAUCUCUGAAAGCUGUUCUCAGUUCGGACUGCAGUCUGCAACUCGACUGCACGAAGCUGGA
RNAcentral lists this ribosomal RNA (773 nucleotides) under uncultured Bacillota bacterium. RNAcentral describes it as "bacterial SSU rRNA". It matches the Rfam family "Bacterial small subunit ribosomal RNA", at positions 557 to 1330 of the family's 1533-position model. Lineage: Bacteria; Bacillati; Bacillota. The record is from RNAcentral.